AGAGUGCUCCUUUGAGAUUGAAGACGAUGAUGGAGCUAAAGUUCUUGCAAGCCCAGUUGCAGCCAAGAAGACUAAAAGCAGCUCAGUUAAAUGGUCUAAAGAUUAGACGGAAGCAAUUAAAUGCUUCUUCCGAAGUUACAUCUUUGAUAGAAAAGAGAACAAUACUGGUAACCUACCUAGUAAAAGAGAAGUCCAGGAGUCCUUGGAAAAAACAUGAUAUGCAUUCAUUAGAAGGGCUGAGUGAGAAGACCAAACUGUUGAAAAUAAGAUCUAAAAUAUUCAACGAGAGGAAAACAAUGAGACUUAGGACACUUAAAAAAUUAGAUGAAAUGAAAUCAUAGAAAAUAUAAAAAUGAAUCUCAGCAUUUUACAUGUCAUGUAACUGUAAUGUAACAACAAGACGUAGGGCAUUUAUUAUAAUGUAUUUUUAGCUCACCGAGACGAAGGCCGGGGGAGCUUAUGCUAUACAGUCAGGGUCCGGACCUGGUUAAAGUUUUUGUCUUAUAGUUUUUGUCUUAUAAGUCAUAAAGUGGCCCUAAAGGUGAUAAAUAUUUCAGACGACAUCCUAAUGUCUUUAUGUUUGAAGAAAAACUAAUAUUUUCUAGCUGCAUAAUCCUGUUUGUCCUUUUAUAUUUUUUCUCUGCCAUGCAUUUGAUCAGUCAUUUUUGCUCCCAGAGUAACUUUUAAACUUUGUCAAUUUAUUAUAUAUGUACUUAUUAUCAUUGUUAUUCAUUAACAUUUGUUAAUGAAUGGUUCAUUCAAAAGAUGAUCUUUG
Magallana angulata is the source of this 775-nucleotide long non-coding RNA. RefSeq lists it as uncharacterized. The record is from RefSeq and is a predicted model, not a curated record. NCBI's taxonomy places the organism in Eukaryota, Metazoa, Mollusca, Bivalvia, Ostreida, Ostreidae. The transcript has 3 exons.